RNAcentral lists this ribosomal RNA (1234 nucleotides) under wastewater metagenome. RNAcentral describes it as "bacterial LSU rRNA". It matches the Rfam family "Bacterial large subunit ribosomal RNA", at positions 1703 to 2925 of the family's 2925-position model. The record is from RNAcentral.
GGAGAAGGAACUCGGCAAAUUGACACCGUAACUUCGGGAGAAGGUGUGCCUCUGUCGGUGUAGGACUUCGCGUUCGAAGCUGAUAGAGGUCGCAGAGAAUAGGUGGCUGCGACUGUUUAACAAAAACACAGCUCUGUGCCAACACGAAAGUGGACGUAUACGGAGUGACGCCUGCCCGGUGCUGGAAGAUUAAAUGAUGGGGUGCAAGCUCUUGAUUGAAGUCCCAGUAAACGGCGGCCGUAACUAUAACGGUCCUAAGGUAGCGAAAUUCCUUGUCGGGUAAGUUCCGACCCGCACGAAUGGCGUAACGAUGGCCACACUGUCUCCUCCUGAGACUCAGCGAAGUUGAAAUGUUUGUGAAGAUGCAAUCUCCCCGCUGCUAGACGGAAAGACCCCGUGAACCUUUACUGUAGCUUUGCAUUGGACUUUGAACAGACUUGUGUAGGAUAGGUGGGAGGCUAUGAAGCAGGAACGCUAGUUUCAGUGGAGCCGUCCUUGAAAUACCACCCUGGUGUGUUUGAGGUUCUAACCUUGGUCCGUGAUCCGGAUCGGGGACAGUGCAUGGUAGGCAGUUUGACUGGGGCGGUCUCCUCCCAAAGUGUAACGGAGGAGUUCGAAGGUUACCUAGGUACGGUCGGAAAUCGUGCUGAUAGUGCAAUGGCAAAAGGUAGCUUAACUGCGAGACCGACAAGUCGAGCAGGUGCGAAAGCAGGACAUAGUGAUCCGGUGGUUCUGAAUGGAAGGGCCAUCGCUCAACGGAUAAAAGGUACUCCGGGGAUAACAGGCUGAUUCCGCCCAAGAGUUCACAUCGACGGCGGAGUUUGGCACCUCGAUGUCGGCUCAUCACAUCCUGGGGCUGUAGCCGGUCCCAAGGGUAUGGCUGUUCGCCAUUUAAAGUGGUACGUGAGCUGGGUUCAAAACGUCGUGAGACAGUUUGGUCCCUAUCUGCAGUGGGCGUUGGAAGUUUGACGGGGGCUGCUCCUAGUACGAGAGGACCGGAGUGGACGAACCUCUGGUGUACCGGUUGUGACGCCAGUCGCAUCGCCGGGUAGCUAAGUUCGGAAGAGAUAACCGCUGAAAGCAUCUAAGCGGGAAACUUGCCUGAAGAUGAGACUUCCCUGGAGGCUUGACCUCCCUGAAGAGUCGUUCGAGACCAGGACGUUGAUAGGUCGGGUGUGGAAGCGCUGUGAGGCGUUAAGCUAACCGAUACUAAUUGCUCGUGAGGCUUGAUCCU